RNAcentral lists this unclassified non-coding RNA (242 nucleotides) under Hevea brasiliensis (rubber tree). The record is from RNAcentral. Lineage: Eukaryota; Viridiplantae; Streptophyta; Magnoliopsida; Malpighiales; Euphorbiaceae.
AAACAUCAUGCAUACAUGCCAAGAUCCCUCAAUAUAUAUUCAAAAUUGAGAGUAACCACUUCCCAAGUAGCAGAGCCAAUUACACCAAUGCCUCCCGGAACCCAAGCACCCCUACACAAUCAAAUCAAAAACAACCCUAAAAUUUACAAGAAACCUAUCCUAUGGAUCCCAGAUUAACAAUUUCAGGAAUAUCCAUAAACUUUGAUGCCCAAAGCAACGGAACCCUUAAAAGCAGACCUAAA